AGAGCGAACGCUGGCGGCAGGCCUAACACAUGCAAGUCGAGCGCUCCGCAAGGGGAGCGGCAGACGGGAGAGUAACACGUGGGAACGUACCCUUCAGUUCGGAACAACCCAGGGAAACUUGGGCUAAUACCGAAUACGUCCGUAAGGAGAAAGAUUUAUCGCUGAAGGAUCGGCCCGCGUCUGAUUAGCUUGUUGGUGAGGUAACGGCUCACCAAGGCGACGAUCAGUAGCUGGUCUGAGAGGAUGAUCAGCCUCACUGGGACUGAGACACGGCCCAGACUCCUACGGGAGGCAGCAGUGGGGAAUAUUGGACAAUGGGCGCAAGCCUGAUCCAGCCAUGCCGCGUGGGUGAUGAAGGCCCUAGGGUUGUAAAGCCCUUUCGGCGGGGAAGAUAAUGACGGUACCCGCAGAAGAAGCCCGGCUAACUUCGCGCCAGCAGCCGC
This 443-nucleotide ribosomal RNA is filed under the name uncultured bacterium. Its description in RNAcentral is "SSU rRNA". It matches the Rfam family "Bacterial small subunit ribosomal RNA", at positions 26 to 518 of the family's 1533-position model. The record is from RNAcentral.